GUAGGUGUAGCUCACUAGUAGGGCUCUUGCCUGGUGCUUGCAAGGUCCUGGGUUUGAUUCCCAGCACUCACU
RNAcentral lists this transfer RNA (72 nucleotides) under Cricetulus griseus (Chinese hamster). It matches the Rfam family "tRNA". From Rfam's summary of the family: Transfer RNA (tRNA) molecules are approximately 80 nucleotides in length. Their secondary structure includes four short double-helical elements and three loops (D, anti-codon, and T loops). Lineage: Eukaryota; Metazoa; Chordata; Mammalia; Rodentia; Cricetidae. The record is from Rfam by way of RNAcentral.